GGGGGUGACUGGCUUUGACGGUCUGUCCUUUGAAAAACGUGCGACGCGGUGCAUGCUCGAGAGCCACCUUAAUCCGCUCGAGCACCAAACUUGCCAACACUUCUGUUGCAAGCGCGAAGAAGUCGCCUUACUUCGGUAAGGUCGGCGAUAUCGCGUUCGCCUACGCGACGGCUCGCGCUGCUCUCCACCGGCGCUCACAGCGCGAGAGCGGGCGGAAUAUCCUGUGAGCUAGAGCUCCGGUCUCCCAGCCGGCCGCUCGAACCUGCGGGAUCGGAGAGGAGCGAUUUCGUUCUGAUUUCUUACGCCCUCCCCUAAACCUUAAUCGGGACUAUGCGUCGUAGAAACGCUUUCAGAGCCGGAUUCGGACGCGGAUUCGAUUUCCGCCACCUCCACUG
RNAcentral lists this transfer-messenger RNA (395 nucleotides) under Patescibacteria group. RNAcentral's name for it is "UBA10025 sp001003705 Standard tmRNA". It matches the Rfam family "transfer-messenger RNA". Rfam says of the family: Bacterial tmRNA, also known as 10Sa RNA or SsrA, is named for its dual tRNA and mRNA-like properties. The record is from RNAcentral.